UUAAGCGACUAAGCGUACACGGUGGAUGCCCUGGCAGUCAGAGGCGAUGAAGGACGUGCUAAUCUGCGAUAAGCGUCGGUGAGGUGAUAUGAACCGUUAUAACCGGCGAUUUCCGAAUGGGGAAACCCAGUGUGUUUCGACACACUAUCAUUAACUGAAUCCAUAGGUUAAUGAGGCGAACCGGGGGAACUGAAACAUCUAAGUACCCCGAGGAAAAGAAAUCAACCGAGAUUCCCCCAGUAGCGGCGAGCGAACGGGGAGGAGCCCAGAGCCUGAAUCAGUGUGUGUGUUAGUGGAAGCGUCUGGAAAGGCGCGCGAUACAGGGUGACAGCCCCGUACACAAAAAUGCACAUAUUGUGAGCUCGAUGAGUAGGGCGGGACACGUGGUAUCCUGUCUGAAUAUGGGGGACCAUCCUCCAAGGCUAAAUACUCCUGACUGACCGAUAGUGAACCAGUACCGUGAGGGAAAGGCGAAAAGAACCCCGGCGAGGGAGUGAAAAAGAACCUGAAACCGUGUACGUACAAGCAGUGGGAGCCUCUUAAUGGGGUGACUGCGUACCUUUUGUAUAAUGGGUCAGCGACUUAUAUUCUGUAGCAAGGUUAACCGAAUAGGGGAGCCGAAGGGAAACCGAGUCUUAACUGGGCGUUAAGUUGCAGGGUAUAGACCCGAAACCCGGUGAUCUAGCCAUGGGCAGGUUGAAGGUUGGGUAACACUAACUGGAGGACCGAACCGACUAAUGUUGAAAAAUUAGCGGAUGACUUGUGGCUGGGGGUGAAAGGCCAAUCAAACCGGGAGAUAGCUGGUUCUCCCGAAAGCUAUUUAGGUAGCGCCUCGUGAAUUCAUCUCCGGGGUAGAGCACUGUUUCGGCAAGGGGUCAUCCCGACUUACCAACCCGAUGCAAACUGCGAAUACCGGAGAAUGUUAUCACGGGAGACACACGGCGGGUGCUAACGUCCGUCGUGAAGAGGAAACAACCCAGACCGCCAGCUAAGGUCCCAAAGUCAUGGUUAAGUGGGAAACGAUGUGGGAAGGCCCAGACAGCCAGGAUGUUGGCUUAGAAGCAGCCAUCAUUUAAAGAAAGCGUAAUAGCUCACUGGUCGAGUCGGCCUGCGCGGAAGAUGUAACGGGGCUAAACCAUGCACCGAAGCUGCGGCAGCGACACUAUGUGUUGUUGGGUAGGGGAGCGUUCUGUAAGCCUGUGAAGGUGUACUGUGAGGUAUGCUGGAGGUAUCAGAAGUGCGAAUGCUGACAUAAGUAACGAUAAAGCGGGUGAAAAGCCCGCUCGCCGGAAGACCAAGGGUUCCUGUCCAACGUUAAUCGGGGCAGGGUGAGUCGACCCCUAAGGCGAGGCCGAAAGGCGUAGUCGAUGGGAAACAGGUUAAUAUUCCUGUACUUGGUGUUACUGCGAAGGGGGGACGGAGAAGGCUAUGUUGGCCGGGCGACGGUUGUCCCGGUUUAAGCGUGUAGGCUGGUUUUCCAGGCAAAUCCGGAAAAUCAAGGCUGAGGCGUGAUGACGAGGCACUACGGUGCUGAAGCGACAAAUGCCCUGCUUCCAGGAAAAGCCUCUAAGCAUCAGGUAACAUCAAAUCGUACCCCAAACCGACACAGGUGGUCAGGUAGAGAAUACCAAGGCGCUUGAGAGAACUCGGGUGAAGGAACUAGGCAAAAUGGUGCCGUAACUUCGGGAGAAGGCACGCUGAUAUGUAGGUGAAGCGACUUGCUCGUGGAGCUGAAAUCAGUCGAAGAUACCAGCUGGCUGCAACUGUUUAUUAAAAACACAGCACUGUGCAAACACGAAAGUGGACGUAUACGGUGUGACGCCUGCCCGGUGCCGGAAGGUUAAUUGAUGGGGUUAGCGGUAACGCGAAGCUCUUGAUCGAAGCCCCGGUAAACGGCGGCCGUAACUAUAACGGUCCUAAGGUAGCGAAAUUCCUUGUCGGGUAAGUUCCGACCUGCACGAAUGGCGUAAUGAUGGCCAGGCUGUCUCCACCCGAGACUCAGUGAAAUUGAACUCGCUGUGAAGAUGCAGUGUACCCGCGGCAAGACGGAAAGACCCCGUGAACCUUUACUAUAGCUUGACACUGAACAUUGAGCCUUGAUGUGUAGGAUAGGUGGGAGGCUUUGAAGUGUGGACGCCAGUCUGCAUGGAGCCGACCUUGAAAUACCACCCUUUAAUGUUUGAUGUUCUAACGUGGGCCCCUUACCGGGGUUGCGGACAGUGUCUGGUGGGUAGUUUGACUGGGGCGGUCUCCUCCUAAAGAGUAACGGAGGAGCACGAAGGUUGGCUAAUCCUGGUCGGACAUCAGGAGGUUAGUGCAAUGGCAUAAGCCAGCUUGACUGCGAGCGUGACGGCGCGAGCAGGUGCGAAAGCAGGUCAUAGUGAUCCGGUGGUUCUGAAUGGAAGGGCCAUCGCUCAACGGAUAAAAGGUACUCCGGGGAUAACAGGCUGAUACCGCCCAAGAGUUCAUAUCGACGGCGGUGUUUGGCACCUCGAUGUCGGCUCAUCACAUCCUGGGGCUGAAGUAGGUCCCAAGGGUAUGGCUGUUCGCCAUUUAAAGUGGUACGCGAGCUGGGUUUAGAACGUCGUGAGACAGUUCGGUCCCUAUCUGCCGUGGGCGCUGGAGAACUGAGGGGGGCUGCUCCUAGUACGAGAGGACCGGAGUGGACGCAUCACUGGUGUUCGGGUUGUCAUGCCAAUGGCACUGCCCGGUAGCUAAAUGCGGAAGAGAUAAGUGCUGAAAGCAUCUAAGCACGAAACUUGCCCCGAGAUGAGUUCUCCUGACUCCUUGAGAGUCCUGAAGGAACGUUGAAGACGACGACGUUGAUAGGCCGGGUGUGUAAGCGCAGCGAUGCGUUGAGCUAACCGGUACUAAUGAACCGUGAGGCUUAACCU
This 2894-nucleotide ribosomal RNA is filed under the name Escherichia coli. RNAcentral describes it as "23S ribosomal RNA". It matches the Rfam family "Bacterial large subunit ribosomal RNA". Lineage: Bacteria; Pseudomonadati; Pseudomonadota; Gammaproteobacteria; Enterobacterales; Enterobacteriaceae. The record is from RNAcentral.